CUACGGGAGGCUCCAGUGAGGAAUAUUGCACAAUGGGGGGAACCCUGAUGCAGCAACGCCGCGUGGAGGAUGACGCAUUUCGGUGUGUAAACUCCUUUUAUAUGUCAAGAAAAUGACGGUAGCAUAUGAAUAAGCACCGGCUAACUCCGUGCCAGCAGCCGCGGUAAUACGGAGGGUGCAAGCGUUACUCGGAAUCACUGGGCGUAAAGGACGCGUGGGCGGGUUGGAAAGUCAGGUGUGAAAUCCUACAGCUUAAAUGUAGAACUGCACUUGAAACUUCUAAUCUAGAGUAUGGGAGGGGGGAAAUGGAAUUAGUGGUGUAGGGGUAAAAUCCGUAGAUAUCACUAGGAAUACCUAAAGCGAAGGCGAUCUCCUGGAACAUUACUGACGCUAAGGCGUGAAAGCGUGGGGAGCAAACAGGAUUAGAUACCCCGGUAGUC
This 440-nucleotide ribosomal RNA is filed under the name uncultured bacterium. RNAcentral describes it as "partial 16S ribosomal RNA". It matches the Rfam family "Bacterial small subunit ribosomal RNA", at positions 339 to 795 of the family's 1533-position model. The record is from RNAcentral.